Molecule: long non-coding RNA, 456 nt
Organism: Oxyura jamaicensis (ruddy duck)
Lineage: Eukaryota; Metazoa; Chordata; Aves; Anseriformes; Anatidae
Exons: 4
Source: RefSeq, a predicted model, not a curated record
AUGAAACUAUUUCAGUAGAAAAACAAUUCACAUGUGAAUAUUGGCCAGUGUCACAAUGUAGGAGAUGACAAUCCAUUCCUGGACUGAUGGCCACCGUUCCAUCCGCACCAAGAUGAUAUAAUUAAAUAGCAUCAAGUAACCCAGAACAGGAACAUCAUGAACAGUAACAGCAGAAGCUUCCUGACAUCCUCCUGUCAGUAUACCCCAGUUCUGAUAAGGAGGAGUCACAGAGCCUGGGCUGGCCUCUGUGUCCAUGAAAUCCUUAGUGAUUCCUGCUGAGAUUUCCAGAAGAGGUGCCUGCGCUUGAAGUGACUAAAAAGAAACAACACAACUCCCUACAUGUUGUUACUGGCAUACACAGCUUCUAAGGACAUCUCUCAGAAGUCAGAAAGCCAGCCGGUGGAACUGAUGUUUAUUUUCCCACACUUUUUCAUUAAAGUCCAGAAUCCAAGACUA